CCUAAUACAGGCAGGUCGAGCGAGCGGAACUAACAGAUUUACUUCGGUAAUGACGUUAGGAAAGCGAGCGGCGGAUGGGUGAGUAACACGUGGGGAACCUGCCCCAUAGUCUGGGAUACCACUUGGAAACAGGUGCUAAUACCGGAUAAGAAAGCAGAUCGCAUGAUCAGCUUUUAAAAGGCGGCGUAAGCUGUCGCUAUGGGAUGGCCCCGCGGUGCAUUAGCUAGUUGGUAAGGUAAAGGCUUACCAAGGCGAUGAUGCAUAGCCGAGUUGAGAGACUGAUCGGCCACAUUGGGACUGAGACACGGCCCAAACUCCUACGGGAGGCAGCAGUAGGGAAUCUUCCACAAUGGACGCAAGUCUGAUGGAGCAACGCCGCGUGAGUGAAGAAGGUUUUCGGAUCGUAAAGCUCUGUUGUUGGUGAAGAAGGAUAGAGGUAGUAACUGGCCUUUAUUUGACGGUAAUCAACCAGAAAGUCACGGCUAACUACGUGCCAGCAGCCGCGGUAAUACGUAGGUGGCAAGCGUUGUCCGAUU
This 536-nucleotide ribosomal RNA is filed under the name Lactobacillus crispatus. RNAcentral describes it as "bacterial SSU rRNA". It matches the Rfam family "Bacterial small subunit ribosomal RNA", at positions 47 to 550 of the family's 1533-position model. The record is from RNAcentral. Lineage: Bacteria; Bacillati; Bacillota; Bacilli; Lactobacillales; Lactobacillaceae.